This 413-nucleotide ribosomal RNA is filed under the name Klebsiella pneumoniae. RNAcentral describes it as "bacterial SSU rRNA". It matches the Rfam family "Bacterial small subunit ribosomal RNA", at positions 353 to 780 of the family's 1533-position model. The record is from RNAcentral. Lineage: Bacteria; Pseudomonadati; Pseudomonadota; Gammaproteobacteria; Enterobacterales; Enterobacteriaceae.
AGUGGGGAAUAUUGGACAAUGGGGGCAACCCUGAUCCAGCAAUUCUGUGUGCACGAAGAAGGUUUUCGGAUUGUAAAGUGCUUUCAGCAGGGAAGAAGAAAGUGACGGUACCUGCAGAAGAAGCGACGGCUAAAUACGUGCCAGCAGCCGCGGUAAUACGUAUGUCGCAAGCGUUAUCCGGAAUUAUUGGGCAUAAAGGGCAUCUAGGCGGCCCUGUAAGUCUAGGGUGAAAACCUGCGGCUCAACCGCAGGCCUGCCCCGGAAACUACAGGGCUAGAGUAUCGGAGAGGUGGACGGAACUGCACGAGUAGAGGUGAAAUUCGUAGAUAUGUGCAGGAAUGCCGAUGAUGAAGAUAGUUCACUGGACGGUAACUGACGCUGAAGUGCGAAAGCUAGGGGAGCAAACAGGAUUA